This 519-nucleotide ribosomal RNA is filed under the name uncultured eukaryote. RNAcentral's name for it is "SSU rRNA". It matches the Rfam family "Eukaryotic small subunit ribosomal RNA", at positions 1161 to 1704 of the family's 1831-position model. The record is from RNAcentral.
AGGGCACCACCAGGAGUGGAGCCUGCGGCUUAAUUUGACUCAACACGGGAAAUCUCACCAGGCCCGGACACCGGAAGGAUUGACAGAUUGAGAGCUCUUUCUUGAUUCGGUGGGUGGUGGUGCAUGGCCGUUCUUAGUUGGUGGAGCGAUUUGUCUGGUUAAUUCCGAUAACGAACGAGACUCUGGCCUACUAACUAGACGUUGGAUCAUUUGUGGUCCUUCGCUGCUUCUUAGAGGGACGGGCGGCGUUCAGCCGCACGAGAAUGAGCAAUAACAGGUCUGUGAUGCCCUUAGAUGUUCUGGGCUGCACGCGCGCUACACUGAAGGAAUCAGCGUGUGUACCCUGUCCGAAAGGACUGGGAAACCCGUUGAACCUCCUUCGUGAUGGGGAUUGGGGAUUGAAAUUAUUCCCCAUGAACGAGGAAUUCCCAGUAGGCGCGAGUCAUAAGCUUGCGUCGAUUACGUCCCUGCCCUUUGUACACACCGCCCGUCGCUACUACCGAUCGAGUGAUUUAGUGA